This 537-nucleotide ribosomal RNA is filed under the name Histoplasma capsulatum. RNAcentral describes it as "eukaryotic LSU rRNA". It matches the Rfam family "Eukaryotic large subunit ribosomal RNA", at positions 97 to 647 of the family's 3401-position model. Lineage: Eukaryota; Fungi; Ascomycota; Eurotiomycetes; Onygenales; Ajellomycetaceae. The record is from RNAcentral.
AGCGGCAAGAGCUCAAAUUUGAAUCCGGCCCCCCUGGGGGCCUGAGUUGUAAUUUGCAGAGGAUGCUUCGGGCGCGACCGCGGUCCAAGUCCCCUGGAACGGGGCGUCGUAGAGGGUGAGAAUCCCGUCUCCGGCCGGCCGGUCUCGCCCGUGUGAAGCUCCUUCGACGAGUCGAGUUGUUUGGGAAUGCAGCUCCAAAUGGGUGGUAAAUUUCAUCUAAAGCUAAAUACUGGUCGGAGACCGAUAGCGCACAAGUAGAGUGAUCGAAAGAUGAAAAGCACUUUGAAAAGAGAGUUAAACAGCAUGUGAAAUUGUUGAAAGGGAAGCGCUUGCGACCAGAGUCGGCCGCGGGGGUUCAGCGGGCAUUCGUUGCCCGUGCAAUCCCCCGCGGCCGGGCCAGCGUCGGUUUCGACGGCCGGUCAAAGGCCCCCGGAAUGUGUCGCCUCUCGGGGCGUCUUAUAGCCGGGGGUGCAAUGCGGCCAGUCGGGACCGAGGAACGCGCUCCGGCACGGACGCUGGCUUAAUGGUCGUCAGCGA